Molecule: long non-coding RNA, 1386 nt
Organism: Mercenaria mercenaria
Lineage: Eukaryota; Metazoa; Mollusca; Bivalvia; Venerida; Veneridae
Exons: 2
Source: RefSeq, a predicted model, not a curated record
GCUUGCGGAGAGAUCUUUAUGUGUUUGUUCUUUCAUAAAGAACACCCUAGAUAAACUUUGUGGACAAAGCGGUCAUGUUAAAUACCGUGUGUUCAUGUGUAUAUUUAAUAACUGUUGUUUUUUUGUAGUUUUUAUGAAUAGCAUGCUAAAGAACUUUUCGGUUUACAAGAUAAAUAUAUUACCUACAGCAAACUUUUAUAUUAUUUUCGUUCUUAUACUCUGGAGCUUACACUUUAUGUUCAGAAUGAUUAGAUCUACGCAUGUGUUUGAACGUGAUUGGAUAACUGGACUGAAAUGAAUUAACCUAGGUUUGAUAGAGUACUGCAAUGCGUUCCUGUGUACCUUCAAUGUGUGAGAAUUAGUCCCAAUCCCUAUUGGUUUGUUUGUUAUUAUUCCAAUAAACAAUCUAUUUUUACAACAUUUGAUUUUUGGCUUCUAUAAACAUAAAAAUCUCUCUUGAACUACGAACAUGUCUUGCAUAACAGUGUCAGUACCUUUAAAAUGCAAGUUGUAUAAAUGUCAUGACGAAAAACUUUUGAAAUACUGCCUCACCACCACAAACAUUAGGAGUAGCAUGUUGUCUUUUUGAAUUGACAAACUCCUCAGAUUGACGUUAGACAUGGACGUAAUACUAACAUUUCGCCGCGUUUGGAGGACUUGGUUUAUUGUUUUAUUGUUAGUUUCUACGGCACUAUGUUUGUGUAGGAGUGUUGGCUGGGUAGGCUGUGUGGACUUUGGGUGUAGCCGCAAGGAAGGUGGACGUUGUGGGAACUUUGGAAGGAGACCUGAUAAUAACUGCGUCUGUGUUUUAGGCCACUGAUGAAGUGGAAUAUAGGGAUUUUAGAUAAUUAAUUGCCAGAUGAUAACUAAUAUUGCCGGAUUCGUUAUUUCAAACAAAUUUUGAGAUUAGACACUGGCAGUUCGAAAAGAGAAGGAAAGGAUUUGAAGAAAAUAAAUGUUGGAAUGUGUUACUGACAUAUUACAGGCAAGUCGGAAUAUUUUGUGUGUGACGGAUUCAAGGAUGUGCCAUUUGCUGUUCAUACUAUUAUAUUGGAUGAAACGGGUUUUAUUUUAUAUUAAAAUGUGUACGUACAUUCUUACGUUUAUUAGAGUGAAUGAAUGUCUUUACAUCACAUCAUACCAGGCUAAAACUCGUACGAGAAGACAGUUUACAAAGGUCAGGUCAUAUCAUACCAGGCUAAAACCCGUACGAGAAGACAGUUUACAAAGGUCAGGUCAGGUCACAUCAUACCAGGCUAAAACUCGUACGAGAAGACAGUUUACAAAGGUCAGGUCAUAUCAUACCAGGCUAAAACCCGUACGAGAAGACAGUUUAGAUAGGUCAGGUCACUGGGAUAAUUGCAAUAAAACCAACAUACAUCUUAA